CCCCCUCCGCACCCCUAUCCUCGCCUCUUUCCUUCCCUGCCUGCUGCCCUCCCUACGGCAGCUCCUCUGCUUCGGCCCGGCCCUCCAUGUGCCGCCACGCCCCCACUCACCCCCGUCGCCGCGGCCACAGGACCUCGCCUCGCCCCGCCCCGCCCCGCCCAAUGCCGACGCUGAUUCCGGCACCAUGCACGCACGACACGACGCCACGCCUCGCUCGCCUUCGUCGAGGUCGUCCGAUGCAGCCCAAGCACGGUGUGCCUCGGCCUUGGCCACGCGCUCGGCCAUGACUAGCAGCGACUCAUGAAGCGCUUGGGCACAUGGGCUGCGGCCAAGCGGCGGUAGCGUCGCAGGGGCCAUGUGGAAGCCGGCGGUUGAGGAUUGAGCAUUGGACGGAUGCAUCUAGAUCAGACCUGUCCUAUAUGGCCGAGCAAGAUCGAGGACGGCCGCCGAUAAUGUUCUCCUCGUGUGCAAGCUCCGCACUGCACUGAAGCAUCCAACACAUGCUUUUUCCUUUGAAUGAUCUGAGAAAUAUAUUUGGAUCAGGGAAGCAUGAAGCACAAGCAAUCAUCUCAGAUAUCGAAUCUCAAGCAUAUAGAAAUAGGCUUGCAAAAAUCUUUAGUACUGAUUUGGCUGUUGCUCCUAACAAAGCCUCCAAAAUCUCUGCGAAGAGUUACAGUAUGAUCCUGAACUUGCGAGCAAGAUGCAUAAAGGUACCAUCCUGACACCUGUUUUUUAUUCCAUCAUUAGUUUUACAGCAUAGUUUUAUAUUAGCUAGAAAUUUGGUCCUGCUCCUGCUAGCAAGAUGUGUACCGUAUUAGCUACAGUUUGAAGGUUAUAAUCCUUUUGUUUCCAGACUGAAAGCUAUUAUUAUUCCAAAUUUCUUUUGUGAAGAUGUUUUAUACAUGGCGUUCAGAUCCUAGCACUCUGAAAUCACCUAUUGGCAAUCCAUAUCAAAUGGUGCUACCGCAUCCGUCCUACUCUGUUUCCUUUAGUGGGUGCAAACCUUUGUUUAUGUUUUAACUAUAUAAUAUUUGCCUAUCAACUGAUUUUCCGCUAUCCUAUUUUGUUCCUGCCAAAGGUUCUUCUGUUCUAUAUAUUUGUGCAGUUCUCAUGUUAACUGGAAAGUACUAAAGUACCAAUGUUAUCUAUCCUAGCUGCACAAAACUACAAUUUUCUUGUUUUAAUAAUACGAGGUAUAAGAAAGUGCAGCGGUCAUGGCUUGUACUCAUGCUUGAGGAUAUUUUGGUUAGGCUCCUGGACUGCCUCGUGGUCACAGUGAAGAUGUGACACUUGUGGUUAUCUUCAUGUGGCAUUGAUGGUCAGAGAAACAAACAAAGCUGGAGUGUGGUAAUAGUCAGGGACAUGUACCCGACUGUGAUGUCACCUUGGCCAUGCCCUUCUUUGUGAACUAUUAUGUAUAAAAUAUCCAGAAAAAGCUUAUCGAGACUAUUGAUAGUGCUUCUCUAAUGCUCAAGUAAUGUAGUAAACGGUGAGAUGAACGCCGCCCAUGUUGUCGUCUCAGCCAUAUGGACAUAAUCUAAGGAUGGGAUCCACUCGCCUCAAGAAGGACGAUGACCACAACGAGUACUACCAUUGAACUGAAGGAGCCAGGUGCGGGCGUUCCUCGAGAUAUUUCCAGUAGCCUCGCAGCCGAAGAAGCCGAAGUGGGUGGUGCGGAACGGGUGCUGCAAGCUAGACAAGGGGCCCAAAUAUGUUUCCACUGUAGGCACAUGUUGGUAGCAGACAAAGUGUGCAAAAAAGCACUCGAAGGCCAUUACCUUCAGUUUCAGUAAGAGGGAAACAAUUGUGUAGAAUGCCCUCUUGUUUGAUCUGAUAUAUGCCCAAGAGAUUGGCAGUCCUUGAUUUGAUUAUGUGCCAAUCAUUAAAGCAAACAAGGAGUGAAGUAUUAGGAGAACUUCACAUUUUGAGCACCAAGGAUGUCUCAUUGAUUACAAUAUUGAUCAUGUUGCUUAGAAGAGAUAUGAGCAGAAGUAUUAUCAUUUGUGAAUACUCUUUUCGAGUGAGAUGAGCAGCAGUAGCAAGAUAGAUAACAAUGUUAAAGUAUCUUAUUAUUUGUUAUUUUGAAUUUUUUGUGAUAGAGCAGGCAUUUAUUUCGAUAUGAUUUAACUGUUAA
Long non-coding RNA from Triticum aestivum (bread wheat), 2134 nucleotides. RefSeq lists it as uncharacterized. The record is from RefSeq and is a predicted model, not a curated record. Lineage: Eukaryota; Viridiplantae; Streptophyta; Magnoliopsida; Poales; Poaceae. The transcript has 5 exons.